ACAGGGACGAUGUAGAGCAU
This 20-nucleotide microRNA is filed under the name Rosa chinensis. RNAcentral describes it as "sRNA RchiOBHm_Chr3g0486105". Lineage: Eukaryota; Viridiplantae; Streptophyta; Magnoliopsida; Rosales; Rosaceae. The record is from RNAcentral.